This 253-nucleotide ribosomal RNA is filed under the name uncultured bacterium. RNAcentral's name for it is "partial 16S ribosomal RNA". It matches the Rfam family "Bacterial small subunit ribosomal RNA", at positions 524 to 776 of the family's 1533-position model. The record is from RNAcentral.
UACGUAGGGGGCUAGCGUUGUCCGGAAUCAUUGGGCGUAAAGCGCGUGUAGGCGGCCCGGUAAGUCCGCUCUGAAAGUCCGGGGCUCAACCCCGGGAGGCGGGCGGAUACUGUCGGGCUAGAGUCCGGAAGAGGCGAGUGGAAUUCCUGGUGUAGCGGUGAAAUGCGCAGAUAUCAGGAGGAACACCAAUGGCGAAGGCAGCUCGCUGGGACGGUACUGACGCUGAGGCGCGAAAGCGUGGGGAGCAAACAGG